Molecule: long non-coding RNA, 1672 nt
Organism: Triticum urartu
Lineage: Eukaryota; Viridiplantae; Streptophyta; Magnoliopsida; Poales; Poaceae
Source: RefSeq, a predicted model, not a curated record
CCAGCCCAAGUUAGCUUUCACGAUUAGGUCAUUCGUUGUCCCCACAGCGGCGCCUAUUCCUCUCGAGCCUCCCAUGCCGGCCGCCGCCCCUCGUCACCGCUCCCCUGCGACCAACUCCUUUGCACGGCUGCGACCUACCUGCAUCCUGAUGCGCCGCCGCUCACCACUCCACUGCGAUCCUCCGUCCUGGCGCGCCGCACCUCGCCACAACCCUGCGAUCCUCCAUCCGGGCGCGUCGUCGCUCGUCACCACUCCCCUGCUGCCCUGCAUACCGGCGCGCCGCCCCUCGUCAUGGCACUCCUACAACCAACGACGAAUCUAAGGUACGGCCAUGUGCAGUAUCAGGCCUGCCCACCAAGUUUUCCCCCAAACCCAAGCCAAUCUCAUGUACCAACAGCGCAUGUUCUUAGCGCGCGAUCCGUCCUUGCCGUCAUCCAAUUCGCAGCUGCUGCCGAUGUAACCAGCGGGCCACGCCCAAAAUACCUGCCUCACAAAUAUACUUUGCCAAAUUGACUAUCCACCUCCAUAGUACUAUGCAUGUAAACGCCGUCCGAAUUGGCAUGACGAGUCAGAGAGGUAAGCAGGGCAGGACCUGAGCACGCUUACUAAUAGGACUGGAUGGAUACUGCUGCCACAGAUCUCAUUCUAGGUAUGACUACAUCUAUUUUUUCUUUGUAAAGGCAAGAAGAUCAGCAAGGUAGCACCCAAUCUGUUCAACUGUUCAUUAACGCACGAUUAAGCUCGCAAAGUAGCACCCAAUCUCAAUAGUGAUUCGUCCACUUAUUAAUAUUACAUGCAAGGUAAUGAUCGGGCCUCUCUAUACUAUGCAAAUUGAUAUGCUUGAGCAACAACAAACUGCAGCAAUUAAUUUAACUAGCAUAUAUUAACUACAAACAUAUCAGAGAUUGUAAAUCAAGUUGACUAUCAUGCACUAUAUAUAAGACUUUUACUAUUGUACGUCUUAACUUAGUCUGCAUGGCUUGCAGUGCACUUGCUACAACCAGAGUAUGUAUAUGGCUUUGAAACUGAGCAGAAUUAUUUAAUUUGCUUAUUAAUAUUAGUUAUUUGUUUAUAUUUUGCAGAUUGGUGCUUCUUUUCCUUUCUAAAAUAAAAGUUGAUCUUUGAGUUAUGUUAGUCAGAUAUGAUUAUUAUGCCAGACUAUAUCAUCAGCAAGGUGUUUUUAGUACCAAAUGAUGAAUAUUUCAACCACUAUUUGGCGUACUAUGUACUCAUGAAAUACACUCCAAGGAAACAAGCGCCUACAAAUUGUCCCUCUAAAAUUAAGUUAGGUAUGUGGCAUGCAAGUAGAGGAGAGGAUGAACUUGAGAAUUACCAAUUUUGCUCAUAUUUGAUCUGAUAAGAUGCAAGAAAUAAAUGGAUGAUUAUAUGGGUGUGUGAAGAUGAUGAUGCUCCUGUCCAUGAUGAUGAUGAUGAUGAUGAUGAUGAUGGAUGCUUUUAUUGUUUGUUAAGUUGUAGGGAUGUUCAUUUUGGGUGAUGGGUGAUGUUCCUCGGUUAAGUUUUAGAUAAGUUGUAGGGAUGUUGAUGGAUGCUUUCGGUUGAACUUUCGAUGUGUAGAAAAUAUUUAGAUUAUGCAUCACAUUCUGAUGAUGUUCCUCUUGUAAUAUCCAAUAUUGUAACCCACAAUUUUAUCAAAUAUAUGAUUUCUUCAUUA